CGGCAUUCGAGUGGCGGACGGGUGAGUAACGCGUGGGUAACCUGCCUUACACAGGGGGAUAACACCUGGAAACAGGUGCUAAUACCGCAUAAGCGCACAGGGCCGCAUGGCCCGGUGUGAAAAACUCCGGUGGUGUAAGAUGGACCCGCGUCUGAUUAGCUUGUUGGCGGGGUAGGGGCCCACCAAGGCGACGAUCAGUAGCCGGCCUGAGAGGGUGGACGGCCACAUUGGGACUGAGACACGGCCCAAACUCCUACGGAAGGCAGCAG
RNAcentral lists this ribosomal RNA (269 nucleotides) under uncultured bacterium. RNAcentral's name for it is "partial 16S ribosomal RNA". It matches the Rfam family "Bacterial small subunit ribosomal RNA", at positions 85 to 354 of the family's 1533-position model. The record is from RNAcentral.